CUGGCCAGUCUCAAACAGUAAGACAGCAUGGAAAAAAUUACCUUUAAAAAGUCAAUGAUUGCUUCAUUGCUUAUGGGUGCUGUGAACCAAGAUGCCAGCAUUGUGGUGCAAGUAAAUCCAAAUUUGACAUCCAUACAGCUUGUCAGAAACACAAAUUCACUGGUGAAGAAAUUCUGUUGAAAAGCAUACAAAGAGUUCCAUCAAGACAAGACAAGCUGUCAGAUGUCUUCAUUAUUUUCAGGACACUUCUGAUGUAAAAGAUAAGCAAAGGAUGAGUCUAAGAAAUAGUUCUGUAUUUGAUUAUAUUUUUUUCAGAACUUUUCAGGAAUCCAGGAUGAAACAGAAAGCUAUAGCUGACUAUUUAUUAGCAAUUUUUCCCAUUGAUAAAAAACCUGUAGGGAAGAUUAUGAAUGUUAACAUAUUCUGUACUCUGGAAUAAAAAUGGUCAAACCUAUUCAGUGUCGCAGCAAGAUAUCCCCACUUAGUUCUUGCCACAAGUUAGUUGCAUAGCUUUUCCCUUCAGUCAUUUAAGCCAGAUUUAGAACAAGCUAUUUGUAGAAAACAGAAUUUAAAUUUGGUAAAUUCCCUCAAAUCCUUGCACUGACCACAGUCAUGAAAACUGGCUACCUAAAGAAAUUAAACAUGGAUGUUCUUUAACUUCUCCCUAUGUAUGUUGCUGCCUCACAGAAAACUGUAAAGCAUCAUAAGUCAUUAUUUUAUCCAUUACCAUGAACAAAGAACUGAUGAUCAGUAUGGCCAUCUCUGCAUCUAUCCUGACUACCAGGUUGAUUUCUCUGGCUUGACUUCAUCGCUUCCAAUGCACCACAAGCUCCCUCUUUAAGUAGUUCCAGUUCACCAUCAUCGCUGAAGUGGCCUUUGGAGAUCUCUGGAAAGCUGCACUGGACAACACUUUACUGAAGAAGAAUAACCAUAUCUGCCGUUAUUUUCCAGCAGGAUUCAUUUUGUUGAAGACACAAAACAAAAGCCUUUCUGUCACUGGAUUUGCUGAGUGUGCUCCAAGGGACUGCAGCAGUGCUUUGCUGCUAGCUCUUGUCCUGCUUCCCGGAGAGCCAUUGUGCUGCACUGUGAGCAGGCAGGAUACUCGCCCCAGAGUGAGCUGUGAUGGAGGGACUGACACUGAAACUGCUGGAGAGGGACCCUGUGAUGAGAGAUCAAAAAAACUGAGCAGAUUUGGUGUGACCCUGAAACUUAUCUGAGCACUCCUAAAACAUCCAGGUCAGUACUGUGGCAUUUGAUUACAUUAAGCACUAUAAUAGAAAUUCUGAAUGAAAUGUUCUCCAUCUCUCAUUUCAAACAGGGGGCUGUCUUGAGUCUAAAUAUAUUGACAAUAAUUUUAUGAUUCUUUCAGAGUGAUUACUGUAGAUGUA
RNAcentral lists this long non-coding RNA (1388 nucleotides) under Anas platyrhynchos platyrhynchos (common mallard). RNAcentral describes it as "lncRNA (ENSAPLG00000021449.1)". Lineage: Eukaryota; Metazoa; Chordata; Aves; Anseriformes; Anatidae. The record is from RNAcentral.